CAUGCAAGUCGAGCGAGAAAGGGUAGCAAUAUUCGAGAGUCUGGCGCACGGGUGAGUAACACGUGGGUAAUCUGCUUAGAAGUGGGGAAUAACACCGGGAAACCGGUGCUAAUACCGCAUAAUCUGGCGAAGUCUGCGGACUUUGUCAGCUCCCCGCGCAAUUCGCUUUGAGAGGAGCCCGCGGCUGAUUAGCUAGUUGGUGAGGUAAUGGCUCACCAAGGCCACGAUCAGUAGCCGGUCUGAGAGGACGGUCGGCCACACUGGAACUGAGACACGGUCCAGACUCCUACGGGAGGCAGCAGUGGGGAAUUUUUGGCAAUGGGGGCAACCCUGACCAAGCAACGCCGCGUGGGUGAUGAAGUCUCUUGGGACGUAAAACCCUUU
Molecule: ribosomal RNA, 384 nt
Filed under: uncultured Acidobacteriota bacterium
Lineage: Bacteria; Pseudomonadati; Acidobacteriota
Description: uncultured Acidobacteria bacterium partial 16S ribosomal RNA
Rfam family: Bacterial small subunit ribosomal RNA
Source: RNAcentral